This 1490-nucleotide ribosomal RNA is filed under the name uncultured bacterium. Its description in RNAcentral is "bacterial SSU rRNA". It matches the Rfam family "Bacterial small subunit ribosomal RNA". The record is from RNAcentral.
AGAGUUUGAUCCUGGCUCAGGAUGAACGCUAGCUACAGGCUUAACACAUGCAAGUCGAGGGGCAGCAUGAACUUAGCUUGCUAAGUUUGAUGGCGACCGGCGCACGGGUGCGUAACGCGUAUCCAAUCUACCCGUCACUCGGGGAUAGGCUUUCGAAAGAAAGAUUAAUACCCGAUGGUUUUGUGCUUCCGCAUGGUAGUGCAAAUAAAGAAUUUCGGUGACGGAUGAGGAUGCGUUCCAUUAGGCAGUUGGCGGGGUAACGGCCCACCAAACCUACGAUGGAUAGGGGUUCUGAGAGGAAGGUCCCCCACAUUGGAACUGAGACACGGUCCAAACUCCUACGGGAGGCAGCAGUGAGGAAUAUUGGUCAAUGGACGAGAGUCUGAACCAGCCAAGUAGCGUGCAGGAUGACGGCCCUCCGGGUUGUAAACUGCUUUUAUUGGGGAAUAAAGUUAGGCACGUGUGCCUAUUUGUAUGUACCCAUAUGAAUAAGCAUCGGCUAAUUCCGUGCCAGCAGCCGCGGUAAUACGGAAGAUGCGAGCGUUAUCCGGAUUUAUUGGGUUUAAAGGGAGCGUAGGCGGGACGGUAAGUCAGCGGUCAAAUGUCCGUGCUCAACGCGGUCAUGCCGUUGAAACUGUCGUUCUUGAGUGCAUGCGGGGAAAGUGGAAUUCGUGGUGUAGCGGUGAAAUGCUUAGAUAUCACGGAGAACUCCGAUAGCGAAGGCAUCUUUCCGGCCUGCAACUGACGCUGAGGCUCGAAAGUGCGGGGAUCAAACAGGAUUAGAUACCCUGGUAGUCCGCACCGUAAACGAUGAAUGCUCGUUUUUGGCGAUAUAAUGUCAGAGACCAAGCGAAAGCGUUAAGCAUUCCACCUGGGGAGUACGCCGGCAACGGUGAAACUCAAAGGAAUUGACGGGGGCCCGCACAAGCGGAGGAACAUGUGGUUUAAUUCGAUGAUACGCGAGGAACCUUACCCGGGCUUGAAUUGCAUUUGACGGAUACAGAGAUGUAUCUUCCCUUCGGGGCAGAUGUGAAGGUGCUGCAUGGUUGUCGUCAGCUCGUGCCGUGAGGUGUCGGCUUAAGUGCCAUAACGAGCGCAACCCUUUUCCAUAGUUGCCAUCGGGUUAUGCCGGGCUCUCUGUGGAUACUGCCAUCGUAAGAUGUGAGGAAGGUGGGGAUGACGUCAAAUCAGCACGGCCCUUACGUCCGGGGCUACACACGUGUUACAAUGGGGGGCACAGAGGGCCGCUAGCCGGCGACGGCAUGCCAAUCUCGAAAUCCCUCCUCAGUUCGGACUGGAGUCUGCAACCCGACUCCACGAAGCUGGAUUCGCUAGUAAUCGCGCAUCAGCCAUGGCGCGGUGAAUACGUUCCCGGGCCUUGUACACACCGCCCGUCAAGCCAUGAAAGCCGGGGGUGCCUGAAGUCCGUGACCGCAAGGGUCGGCCUAGGGUAAAACCGGUGAUUGGGGCUAAGUCGUAACAAGGUAACC